This 558-nucleotide ribosomal RNA is filed under the name uncultured bacterium. Its description in RNAcentral is "partial 16S ribosomal RNA". It matches the Rfam family "Bacterial small subunit ribosomal RNA", at positions 355 to 1375 of the family's 1533-position model. The record is from RNAcentral.
UGGGGAAUAUUGGACAAUGGGCGCAAGCCUGAUCCAGCAAUGCCGCGUGAGUGAUGAAGGCCUUAGGGUUGUAAAGCUCUUUCGCACGCGACGAUGAUGACGGUAGCGUGAGAAGAAGCCCCGGCUAACUUCGUGCCAGCAGCCGCGGUAAUACGAAGGGGGCUAGCGUUGUUCGGAAUUACUGGGCGUAAAGGGCGCGUAGGCGGCCUGUUUAGUCAGAAGUGAAAGCCCCGGGCUCAACCUGGGAAUAGCUUUUGAUACUGGCAGGCUUGAGUUCCGGAGAGGAUGGUGGAAUUCCCAGUGUAGAGGUGAAAUUCGUAGAUAUUGGGAAGAACACCGGUGGCGAAGGCGGCCAUCUGGACGGACACUGACGCUGAGGCGCGAAAGCGUGGGAGCAACAGGAUUAGAUACCCUGGUAGUCCACGCCGUAAACGAUGAAUGCUAGACGUCGGGGUGCAUGCACUUCGGUGUCGCCGCUAACGCAUUAAGCAUUCCGCCUGGGGAGUACGGCCGCAAGGUUAAAACUUAAAUGAAUUGACGGGGUCAUAGCUGUUUCCU